GCCAGGCGUGGUGGCGUGUGCCUGUAGUCCCAGCUACUUGGGAGGCUGAGGCAGGAGAAUUGCUUGAACCCGGGAGGCGGAGGCUGCAGUGUGCCACUGCACUCCAGCCUGGGCAACAGAGCGAGACUCUGUCUCAA
This 137-nucleotide non-coding RNA is filed under the name Pan paniscus (pygmy chimpanzee). RNAcentral also lists the same sequence under 1 other name. Lineage: Eukaryota; Metazoa; Chordata; Mammalia; Primates; Hominidae. The record is from Rfam by way of RNAcentral.